GAUGAACGCUGGCGGCGUGCUUAACACAUGCAAGUCGAACGGAAAGGCUCCUGCUUGCAGGGGUACUCGAGUGCGAACGGGUGAGUAACACGUGGGUGAUCUGCCCUGCACUUCGGGAUAAGCCUGGGAAACUGGGUCUAAUACCGGAUAGGACGAUGGUUUGGAUGCCAUUGUGGAAAGUUUUUCGGUGUGGGAUGAGCUCGCGGCCUAUCAGCUUGUUGGUGGGGUAAUGGCCUACCAAGGCGUCGACGGGUAGCCGGCCUGAGAGGGUGUACGGCCACAUUGGGACUGAGAUACGGCCCAGACUCCUACGGGAGGCAGCAGUGGGGAAUAUUGCACAAUGGGCGCAAGCCUGAUGCAGCGACGCCGCGUGGGGGAUGACGGCCUUCGGGUUGUAAACUCCUUUCGCUAGGGACGAAGCGCAAGUGACGGUACCUGGAGAAGAAGCACCGGCUAACUACGUG
Molecule: ribosomal RNA, 464 nt
Filed under: uncultured bacterium
Lineage: Bacteria
Description: partial 16S ribosomal RNA
Rfam family: Bacterial small subunit ribosomal RNA
Source: RNAcentral